GAGGGCAUAGCUCCACGGUAGAGUGCGUGCUUAGCAUGCACAAGGUCCUGGAUUCAAUCCCCAGUCCCUCCA
This 72-nucleotide transfer RNA is filed under the name Camelus bactrianus (Bactrian camel). It matches the Rfam family "tRNA". From Rfam's summary of the family: Transfer RNA (tRNA) molecules are approximately 80 nucleotides in length. Their secondary structure includes four short double-helical elements and three loops (D, anti-codon, and T loops). RNAcentral also lists the same sequence under 1 other name. Lineage: Eukaryota; Metazoa; Chordata; Mammalia; Artiodactyla; Camelidae. The record is from Rfam by way of RNAcentral.